This 752-nucleotide ribosomal RNA is filed under the name uncultured Glomeromycotina. Its description in RNAcentral is "SSU rRNA". It matches the Rfam family "Eukaryotic small subunit ribosomal RNA", at positions 338 to 1091 of the family's 1831-position model. Lineage: Eukaryota; Fungi; Glomeromycota. The record is from RNAcentral.
GGCCUACCAUGGUGGUAACGGGUAACGGGGUGUUAGGGCACGACACCGGAGAGGGAGCCUGAGAAACGGCUACCACAUCCAAGGAUGGCAGCAGGCGCGCAAAUUACCCAAUCCCGACACGGGGAGGUAGUGACAAUAAAUAACAAUACGGGGUUCUUUAGGAUCUCGUAAUUGGAAUGAGUACAAUUUAAAUCUCUUAACGAGGAACAAUUGGAGGGCAAGUCUGGUGCCAGCAGCCGCGGUAAUUCCAGCUCCAAUAGCGUAUAUUAAAGUUGUUGCAGUUAAAAAGCUCGUAGUUGAAUUUCGGGGUUAGUAGGUUGGUCAUGCCUCUGGUAUGUACUGGUCUCACUGAUUCCUCCUUCCUGAUGAACCGUAAUGCCAUUAAUUUGGUGUUGCGGGGAAUUUGGACUGUUACUUUGAAAAAAUUAGAGUGUUUAAAGCAAGCUAACGCUUGAAUACAUUAGCAUGGAAUAAUGAAAUAGGACGUUCGAUCCUAUUUUGUUGGUUUCUAGGAUUGACGUAAUGAUUAAUAGGGAUAGUUGGGGGCAUUAGUAUUCAAUUGUCAGAGGUGAAAUUCUUGGAUUUAUUGAAGACUAACUACUGCGAAAGCAUUUGCCAAGGAUGUUUUCAUUAAUCAAGAACGAAAGUUAGGGGAUCGAAGACGAUCAGAUACCGUCGUAGUCUUAACCAUAAACUAUGCCGACUAGGGAUCGGAUGAUGUUAAUUUUUUAAUGACUCAUUCGGCGCUUACG